GACGGUGCACUGGAGACACGAUACGUCCCACAGGCAUCCAGACCAGAAGUACACGAACAAACUCAAGUGAGACGCAUGGAGAGACAUUAGUGUUGUCGUCCGUGUUAGUGUUGUACCCUGACUUCAGAAACGCCUCCUCUCACUACGCCAGUUUUCCAAGGCCACAGAGACAACUAGCAGAAUACUGGCCACUGUGUUUCAUUACGUGGACCGAGAUGAUGCUGUGAUGUAGUGGAGUGACUGCCCUGCUGCUACAAACACACUGCAUGUCACCUUCGAUGAUAUUCAGGUGACAGCCAAUGAGUGUUUGUUGGGGCUGCCGUGAUGGCGUGUUGGCGUGAUGGCGUGUUGGCGUGUUGGCAUGUCACGUGAUGAUAAGGAAAGAGGGUGUAAUGGUGAGGGAGAGGAGAUACUACUACUACUACUACUACUACUACUACUACUACUACUACUACUACUACUACUACUACUACUACUACUACUACUACUACUACUACUACUACUACUAGUUCU
This is a long non-coding RNA of Portunus trituberculatus (swimming crab), 513 nucleotides long. RefSeq lists it as uncharacterized. The record is from RefSeq and is a predicted model, not a curated record. Lineage: Eukaryota; Metazoa; Arthropoda; Malacostraca; Decapoda; Portunidae. The transcript has 3 exons.